This 497-nucleotide ribosomal RNA is filed under the name uncultured bacterium. RNAcentral's name for it is "bacterial SSU rRNA". It matches the Rfam family "Bacterial small subunit ribosomal RNA", at positions 26 to 518 of the family's 1533-position model. The record is from RNAcentral.
AGGACGAACGCUGGCGGCGCGCUUAACACAUGCAAGUCGAACGGAGAUAUUAGGAGAUAAGCCUCGGGUUUAAGGAAUAGAUAUUUCAGUGGCGAACGGGUGAGUAACACGUGAGCAACCUGCCCCAAAGAGGGGGAUAACACUUAGAAAUAGGUGCUAAUACCGCAUAAGACCACAACGUCACAUGACGAAGGGGUCAAAGGAGAAAUCCGCUUUGGGAUGGGCUCGCGACUGAUUAGGCAGUUGGUGAGGUAAUGGCUCACCAAACCUACGAUCAGUAGCCGGACUGAGAGGUUGGACGGCCACAUUGGGACUGAGACACGGCCCAGACUCCUACGGGAGGCAGCAGUGGGGAAUAUUGGGCCAAUGGGGGGAAACCCUGACCCAGCGACGCCGCGUGAGGGAAGAAGGUUUUCGGAUUGUAAACCUCUGUCUUCGGGGACGAUAAUGACGGUACCCGAGGAGGAAGCCACGGCUAACUACGUGCCAGCCGCUGC